This 410-nucleotide ribosomal RNA is filed under the name uncultured bacterium. RNAcentral's name for it is "bacterial SSU rRNA". It matches the Rfam family "Bacterial small subunit ribosomal RNA", at positions 917 to 1322 of the family's 1533-position model. The record is from RNAcentral.
GGGCUCACACAAGCGGUGGAGGAUGUGGCUUAAUUCGAGGCUACGCGAAGAACCUUACCUAGACUUAACAUGUUUGAGAAUCUCUGUGAAAGCAGAGAGUGCCUUUCGGGGAACUCUUACGUAGGUGCUGCAUGGCUGUCGUCAGCUCGUGUCGUGAGAUGUCGGGUUAAGUCCCUUAACGAGCGAAACCCUUAUCUUCAGUUGCCAGCGAGUAAUGUCGGGGACUCUGGAGAGACUGCCGGUGUUAAACCGGAGGAAGGUGGGGAUGACGUCAAGUCCUCAUGGCCUUUAUGUCUAGGGGCUGCACACGUCCUACAAUGCAACGUACAAAGCGACGCGAAAUCGCGAGAUCAAGCAAACCGCACAAAACGUUGCCCAGUUCGGAUUGGAGUCUGCAACUCGACUCCAUG